AUGAAGAAGAAAAAGAAGGCGGUGGAACCAGCGGCCAAGAGUAGCAGGCCACGGAAGCGGAGCCGCGACGGUGAGCUCGACGGCGAUCUCAUCAGCCACGGUGAUCUCAUCAGCAAACUCCCCGAUGACAUCCUCUGCACAAUCAUCUCCCUCCUGCCCACCAAAGACGGCGCACGCACCCAGGUUAUCGCUCGCCGAUGGCGUCCCCUCUGGCGCUCAGCGCCCCUCAACCUCGACGCCUCCAAACACCUCUGCUCCAACGACUUCAAGCGCUUCUCCCUCAUCUCCAAGAUCCUCUCCGACCACCCUGGCCCCGCCCGCCGCUUCGUCAUCUAUUCCAUCCGCCUCCACAUAGCGGAAAAGAGGUAUGCCGAGGAAGCCGCUCAGAUCGAGAACUGGUUCGUCUUCCCUGCCCUUGACAACCUUCAGGAGCUCGACAUCAACUUUAGGCAGCCGUUUCUCUCUGGACGUGAGAACCGUUACCCGCUGCCACCAUCCGUGUUCCGCUUAGCACCAACCCUCCUUGUGGCAAAAAUUGGCCUCUGCAAUUUCCCAAAUGAGAUUGUCCAUUCGCUGAGUUUUCCCUUGCUCAAGCAGCUCACCUUAUCUCGCGUCUCCAUUUCCGAGGAUGACUUCUCGGGGGUGCUCUCUGGCUGCCGUGUGUUGGGGUCGCUUAAAUUGCAGGGUAUUCGUGAUGUGAAUUGUCUCCGCAUUAGCUCGACAACUCUCAGGAUCAUCAUAAUCGCCUACUCUUUGUUUGAGAGGAAAGGAGAAUUGUUCAUUGAGGACGCCCCUUGCCUUGAAAGGCUGCUACUAGUUAAUCCGGGCUCAGGCGGUGAGACUAUCCGGGUAAUUAAGGCACCUAAAAUGGAGACAUUGGGCCUUUUGUCUGCCCGCAUCUCAGAAAUUGAGAUUGCUAAUAUAGUCUUCCAGAGAUUGAUCCCAUCCAGUUCGGAAGUCCCAAUAUGCACUGUAAAGGUUUUGGCUCUCCAUUUCUCUAGCCCUGAUUUGGAUGCAGUUCUUGACAUCCUUAGAUGCUUCCCGUGCUUGGAAAAGCUCUAUGUCUUUAGGCACUGUUUUACGAGGGCAGCAAUAAAAAAUGUGCCUCAGUAUGAGUCACUAGAUCCAAUCAAAUGCCUUGAGAGGCAUCUCAAAGUACUGGUGCUGAAAAAAUACAAAGGUGGUGAGGAAGAUGUUGGAUUUGUAAAGUUCUUCGUUUUGAAUGCGAAAGUGGUAAAGGAAAUCAACUUUCAAGUGUAUAAGAAGAUUGAUAUCAACAAGAAAUGGAUGACUGAUCAACUCAGGCUGCUAGAAGUGGAAAAUAGAGCUUCUCAAGACGCCCGAUUGAAAUUUGGAAGAAGUUGUGCUAGUUGGAUUCGCUGUUUGGAUCCCCAGGACUUGUCAAUUGCCGACCCUUUCAACUGUUGUUUUGUAGAUGCUCCUUCAGAAGCAUAUCUGUGA
Molecule: ribosomal RNA, 1461 nt
Filed under: Triticum aestivum (bread wheat)
Lineage: Eukaryota; Viridiplantae; Streptophyta; Magnoliopsida; Poales; Poaceae
Description: partial small subunit ribosomal RNA
Source: RNAcentral